GUCUGAAUGGCCAACCAUUUUUUUUUUUCUGUAUGUGUUUGAGAAUAAUGUGUUUUGCAAUUUUUACAUGCAGUAUUUUAUAUAAGCUUAUGGUACAGCUUGUUUAUUGUAUAAUUUAAAACUUCCAUGUCCUUACUAACUUUUGUCUGUUUAUUCUAUUGCUAAAAGUGGUAUAGUAAAUACACUACAAUAAUGCAUUUGUCAAUUUAUCUUUAGUUAUGUCACUUUCUGCUUCAUAUAUUUUGAGACCAUGUUAUUAGGUACAUAAAACAUAAUAAUUAUAUUUUUUUCUGGCAAACUGAAGCUUAUUAUAAAUGACCCUCUUUGUUGUGAGUAAUGCCUUUUGCAUUUACAACUGAUGGAGACAGGACGCAGCCAAGGGUCCCUGGUGAAACUCCGCCUUCAAGCCUAAAACAGCCUGAAGGAUGAAAAACCAGACUUCUGGUGCCUGAUGAAGCCUGCCCUUUCCUGACUGAUUCUAAAUAAUGCCUACCUACCAACUGGGAAGGCAGGGUGGAGCCUUCGGAAAUUCAUGACCUUCGCAGGGGAGAGGAGCUUGGCCUCUCCUAUUGCUGUGUGGUGACCUGGGAUUCAAACUGUGAGGCGGAAAACCUGCUAGCAGGAGUCUCGCUUUGCUGAGAGUUAUUUUUCUUUUCCUUUUUAUCCAAUAAAUUCCGUCUUCUCACGCUUCUAUGUGUCUGUGACCCUACUCUUUCCUGGUCGUGUGACAAGAGCCUGGUUUUAGCUGACCUAAGAAGAAAGUUCUGCAACAUUUUUGGUGUCCAGACGUGAGGCUUGAGGAAGGACAAGUACAGACAAUCACCAGGAACUAAGGAACAAGAAGCAUCCAACCCUGCAUCUGUGGGUUUCCUGAGGUGACUCUCAAUUGUCAUAGGGGUGAAGAGUGAGUGAGGAAACCUUUGGAGCACUUGUUUGCUUCGCAGACAUCCUGACCUUCUUUCAACUGUAAAGACUUAGUCAGAGGACGGCGGCUCCCUCAGCCUCAUUCUGCAGUUCCAAUGACACUUUUUACAAAGGCUCUGUACUUGUCUGAUUCUUAAAUAGUCCAGUUUUUGAACUUUGCUGCAGUAGUUGUAUUCGAAAUGGGUUAAUUGUCUCAUUUUCUUUUUAAUGCCUACUCUUUCAAGGCUCAAAUCUUGAAUAGGUCAAAAAGAGCAAGAGGAAAAUGUCAGAGAAUGGAGAAAGGCAAAUACAGAGAAGCAGUGUGAACAUCCACCCGGCGAGGUGACCUGAUGGUGCUGCUCCAUGUCAGAGACAGUAGUGUCUGGGAAGAGGGAGCCCUUUCCACAGGGUGGAGCGAAAGGCCUGGAGCUGACACCUGGCUCCUGGGCCCACUCGCCCACCACCUCGAGCAACUCCCUUCCUUAACGUCUGCCCGAGUGUUAAGGGCUGAGCACAUGACCUCACAGGAGGAUGUGAGGGGCAGCAGUAACAUGUGUCUAGCACUUUGUCCCUUAUAAGUCACUCACAAAUACUUAUAUCCUUAUUAUGUUCAUCCUUUUCUCUUGAGUUUUUCUCUAAUUCUUUAGGAAGGAAACACGUAGCCAGGAAGUGGAGAGCCUCUCACAUACUUGGGGAGUUUUCAUAUUUCCCCCAUCAGUUCCUUUUCUGGCCUGAGCUCAUGCUCCCUAAGAUCAGGGCUUGGGCUUUGUUUUAGUCUGUGUUGUUAUAAAAGAAUAUCCAACAGUGUGUAAUUUAUAAAGAAAAGAGGUUGACUUGGCUCAUGGUUCUGCAGGCUGUACAGGAACAAGCUUGGCUCCAGCAUCUGCUUGGCUUCUAGGGAGGCCUCAGGAAGCCUUUACUCAUGGGGGAAGGCAAAGGGGAGCAGGCAUUAUGUGAGAGGAAGGAAGAGAGAGGCAGGGGAGGUGCCAGGCCCUUUUAAACAAUCAGCUCCCAUGGGAAAUAACAGAGCCAGAACUCACUCAUUAACUUCAGAAUGGCACCAAGCCAGUCAUAAGGAUCCACCCCCAUGACCCAGACACCUGCCACCAGGCCACGCCCAGUAUCAGGGAUCACAUUUUAACGUGAGACUCGGAGGGGACAAACAUCCAAAUCACAUCUGGCCCCAUAACCUUUGGAGACCUCAGCUCUGGCGCUAGGGUGGUAGGUCCCCUAAGGGUUCGUGCUCUCUGAAGGAAUUGGGUUACAUUACCUGGGAGAGCUUUCUGGAGGAAGUGAGCUUUGCUUCUCACAGGUUUCUAUAAGGAGAAGGAUGGGCUGUUGGAAGGGGAGUGAGUGUGUGUCCAAGUGAGGGAAAGUGAGGUUCAGCAUCUUGGUGCUCUUGGCUCAGCUUCCCUUUCUAUGCCAUGCACAGUGCCUCCAGGAUGCCAGGGGGUGCCAUCCCUGACCUGUUCUGGGGUGGGUGUGCAAGAUGCAAAAUGGCUAAUUUCAGUUCACUGGUAACUCUAACAUUUGGAUAAUAAUUGGCCAUAGCAUUAGCUUUGGUUAUACAUCUCCAAACAUGUUAUUACAUUAUAUAUAUAUAUAUAUACACACACACACACGCACACACGUAUACAUAUAUACACACAUCUAUACUGUAUUGAUAUGUUGAUAUAUUGAUAUUAUGAAUUAUUUUAAAGAGUAUUCUACUGAUGUGGAGGAUAAUAUGAAAUUCAAUAUUUUCUGGCACUCUUUUUAAAUGAUGCUUAGGCCAUCUGAUGAAAACAGAGCUCAGUAAAGAUUUCUUAUUGAUAAAUUAACAUUACAAAUGAAGACUAGUUUCAUUGCCAUGAUCAGUAAAUUAAGGGUCAUAAAUUAACUGUUGAGUUAUUUUCUUUGCACUAUUAAGCCUUCCGCUCAAUCUUUCUACAGUCUUUCUUAUUUAGCAAACGGUGUUACUUGAUACAAACCUCUGCUGUGAUUUUGUUUUUUGAAAUUUAAUAAGAAAGCUAUAUAAUACAAUUCUCGGGGGAAAACAAGCAAGGUAGGUUUUUCACGGUAACCUCCAAGCAGAGAAAUGGUUUCAGUGCGCAGGCCAGUGAAUUUCCUCCAUAGAGUGUGCUGGAAGAAGUCACCUGGAAGUGAUCACCAGAGUGAUAUUCAGUUUGACUCUCAUUGGUUUGUAUAUAAUUGAUUAUAUGUAAAAACAAAUGCCAGGGUGAGGGUGGGACUAGAGUCCCCCUUUCAGGCUCCUCCCCUUGCAUUUCCAUCUGGUCUUGCAGCAAGUUAACCACGGUCCUAUCUUCAGGUUCAAUUACUCCCUUUAAAAAAUAGGUUUUAACACCUAUGUAUCUCUCAACAUUAUAUUGUUUUAUUUUGAAAAAUUGAAUAAUAACCACACACCUAGCUUUGGAAGCAAGAGGCUUCAUGGCCAGGAUCAGAUAAAUGAUCCUCUUAGAGUGGGUGGGACCUCAGCAUCCCAGAGCGUGUGGAAGAGUGCCUGCCAGGAAGCCACCAGACAAGGUCCUAAGUACAUGCAUGGAAACACUGGGCACGAUGCUGACUGUGGCAUGGGCCAAAAAGUGACAUGGGGCAGAACUUCAGUGGGAGGAGGGGUGCUCUGUACGUUCAGCUUCUAAGCCCACUGUGGCCUUCCUCUUAGGGUUUCACAGAGCCAAGCAGAAAAGAAGCACAGGUGACCUUGGCAGGAAGGCAUGCAUGGGAGAGCAGGUCUGCACUCUGGGACACCAGCCUCAACAGAAUACGAGUUUUGAAUUUUUGAAUUGCUGUUAAAACUUUCAUCAUGAACACUGAAGUGGGUGAAAAGAGACUUUUGCAGUCAUUUUUUUGCUGGCUGCAGAUGACAGUGACACCCUGGGAGUUGAGAAAUGCUUGUAAGAUGGAAGGAGGCUGUGUCCCUGAAUGAUCACCUGGAAGAGAGCCACCUUAGCCAAUGAAACUCCUGCUAUGAAUGUUUGCUGAGCAAGAAAUAUACUUACUGCUUUAUAUGCCUUUGAAGCUAUAGGUUCAUAUUGUUACCACAAUUUAAAGUGCUAUAAUAAAAAGAGUUCAGGAAGCAGGCACAUGGAAGCAAUAAGAGCAACAAACAUUUACACAGUUCUCAGGUCCCUGGACCAUGAAGGGCCACAUACAAGGAGCUACCCCAGGAGGCCUCUCAUUUGCAUUUGUCCCCGCUACUGCAGGACAGAGAUCAUGGAAGUUGGGCCCGACUGGAUGAGAUUUGGGGUUCUUUGGAAGUGGCGAAUGUGUUUGCCCUGGGGAAGAGAGGUGAUGUCUAGGAGACCUCUUCACUCAGGGCAAGCUCUAUGACCUGCUUUGACUCCAGAAUGUGGUAGAAGUGGCAUCACAUAAAUUGCAGAGCCUAGGCUUCAAGAGACCUUGCAACUUGCCUCUCACUGUCUUGAAGUGCUCCCAUCAGAGCAUUUUGUAAGGAGCAGGUGGAGCAUGUGGACAAGCCAUCCCCACCAGCCCCUGAGACAUGUGAGAGAGGCCAGAACAGGCCAUCCGGACCCCACUGUGCUGGUGGAUGAGACAGCAGAAGGAAUAUCAACCUACCAACAGAAUCCUGAGAAAUGCUCACUCUUACUUCAAGCUGCUGCAUUUUGAUGUUAUGAAACCAUAAAUAACUUAUGAAGUCAUCUUUGCUGACUUAAAGUUUUCCAUAACUUUAUUAUAACAUAUCAAAAUUAUGAAAAAUGUGAAAAGUAGAAAACUGAUGAAUUUUGCUUCUUCAUAUGGUCUUUAAGAAUCUCAAAGGCACUGAAGUUUUUUAUCUUUUCUGUCUUAGAAUAAAAAACCUUGAAUGAAAAUCUGCUUCUUGGAAAAGCAGCAAGGUUUAUGCAGAGGCAAUCUGGUAUUUGUGUGCACUGGCAGCUGAUCAUACCCAGCAUGUACGCACUCUCAGGGCAGAGUCUGAUGCCCCACAUAAUGGGGCACGGUAAGGACUCCCAUGUCCUUGAGAUAAAAUGAUAAGGAAAAUACACACUGCUAUUAGAAUAACAGGCCCAGCUUCUGCACAUUUUAAUUCCCAAAGUUUUCAUGAAAGACAAUGAUUUUUUGGUACCAUGUUUAACUCUACAAGAAUCAGUAGUGAAAACUAAAAAUGAUACUUUGUGAAAGUUCAUUAAUUUUGUUUUCAGCCAGUGGUGGCCUUGGUCAGAUAGAAUCAAAUCUAUGAUACUUUUUAUCAGAAAUGCUUGUACUGUGUACAAACCCCAAGUGAGGGCUUUCAAAGAUUGAAUUUGAUUAUUUUCUGUAUGGUGCAGAUGAAAAAUUACUACACAGGAGAAGGUGGGUUGGAGGUGCUCACGAGUAACCAGGAAACAGUCUGAAGUUUUUCUGAUACUUCUUCUUGGUCCAACCAAAUGUGAGAUAUAAACACAAACAUGGGAUUCCGUUCUUAUGUUUUGGUUGUUUCAGUCUUUACAGAUGUAUCGAAAGGCUGUCCAAAGAUGUCUGACUUCUGUAGUGUGCCUUCGUAGCACUAGAGGGUUCUGUAGCUGUGAAACUGAAGGCAUUGGCAAGAAGCCCUCCAUCUUCAAACCACUUUCUGCUAAGGUGUGGCUCUAUAAAACCACUAUGAGCUGGGCUUCACUGAGACUGAGUUGUUUCAGUAGGAUCUUCCGGAAAAACACGUUCCCUCCUUUACCUGGGUUGUCAUUCUGAGAACAAUCACACCUCCAAUUUUGGCUUACUAAGCAAUAGUGUUUUAAUGAUUUUAAGCCAGGAUUUGCUCCUCCUUUCCUCAGUAUGAGACCUUAACCACUGGAGGAACCAAGAAUUCAUGCUGGUUGGGUUCUGAUUCCACUUUAACUUACUGUAUAGCCUCAUCCCUUGUUUUUCUGGAGAUUCUUUCUGCUUCACUGUUUUAUAUUUACAUUAAAAUCAAAUGAGGCCAUGUUUCUGAAAUCACAUUGUCCCUACAUGGUCAUCACAAUGAGUCUGUAAUGUGACUGAAAGACAGCCAUGGAUACAGUUAGAGGAUAUCAGGCAAUUGAAUGCUCAUCAAGCAUUCAAUUCAGGGCAAAUGGCAUAAGGUAUGCAGGUGGCCUCUUCUGAUAUCUGUGUCUUAAUCCUUUCUUUAGCCUCUGUUUUCUGGACCAAGGCUAAGAUAUUUUCUGGGCACAGUGGCUCAUGCCUAUAAUCCCAGCACUCUGGGAGGCCAAGGUGGGAGGAUUUCUUCAGCCCAGGAGUUCGAGACCAGCCUGGGGAACAUAGGAGACCUCAUUCCUACAAAUAAUAAAAUAAAUUAGCCAGCUCUGGUGGCGUGUGCUUAUUGGUCUCAGCUACUUGGGAGGCUGAGGUGGGAGGACUGCUUGAGCCCAGAAGAUCGCAGCUGCAUUGAGCCAUGAUUGUGCCACUGAACCCUAGCCUGAGUAACAGAGCAAGGCCUUAUCUCAAAAAAAAAAAAAAUUCUGAGCCUUCUAAUUUUUUUUUCUUUAAUUAACUUUCUGUAAGCCCAGCAAGUAAAUAAAACACUUAUUUUAUGAAGCAUCUAGUUGCUUUUAGGGGAAGGGACAUCCUCUGCAUAGUAUCUAGGCCAGCUCACUUUCUUCUCCUUACUCUUGAUUUACUCUCUGCCAUUGAAUCUUCUGUGCCAAUGUUGGAUUAAUGUUUCCGGGCCCUACUUUCAUCAUGCUCCUCUGUAUUAUCACCUGUUUUGGUUUACAGCAAUGAUUUUUAAGGUAAGGCAUGGUGUGUCCAUCAUAGUCACAUGGGAACUUUUUCAAGCCAUAUUAACAAUGUCCCCCAUCCAUCAUUCUGCCCCUGGAACAGUGUGUGCACUUGGGACCUUCAUGUAAAUCUACUUUGUUGAAACCCACUGAUCAGCAUGGUGUAUUUCAUAACUCUUUGACUUACAUUCAAGAAAUUCCGUAACCUGAACUCCAUUUACUCUUUUUUUCAUUCAUUCAAAUUAAGAAUAUUGCCGGAACAUGAAUUAUCUGCUAGACGUUUUUCUAGGUGCAGGAGGAGUAAGGAUGAACAUAACUAGCCAUAACUAUAGCUAUCAAUUGUGGAGUGUCUGUUAUGUGCCAGGCACUUUUAAGUGACCUACUCGAUUUGCUUGCAUGACAAACUGUGAGGAAAAGCCCAAUAUUAUCACCUAUUAACAGAUGAGGAAACUGAGGCACAAACAGCAUGAAUAGUUUGUUCCAGAUUGCACCAUAAGAGGCACAGCCAGCUUUCCUACCAAAGCAGCCCUGGCCCAGAGUCCGUACUCCCUCCUCCCCUGCCUCUGCCUGGUGGAUAAGGUCACCCUGGCCUUGUGGAACUUAUGCUCUAGUGGGGACAAAUAGUUAUAGAGAAUGACCGAUGUUACUAAGAAAAUAAAAGCUGGUAAGAAAACAGAAGAACUGAGGAGGUGACUGAAGUGAGCAUUUAUAAUUUUAUGUUAUAUCCAUUGUAAAAUAUAAGUUUAGCUUUCUCAUACCAGAAGCAGGGCUCAGUCCACCCUUGACUCAGUUUCCAAUACUGUUCCCCAUCAGAAUGGCUCUUGCUGGUGGCCAGAAGUAAAACUUAGAAAUAUCUCUCUCAGAGACACCUAAGCAGGCUGGGCUCCCCGGUUUCCUGUUGCUUCCUUUAAAGAAGCUCUUCAGACAUCUGCACAAGAACUCAAAGUGACCACCUCUCAGCCCAGCAUGACCUCCUAGAACUAAUGCCUGCUUGCUUUCAACCUACCAAUUAAAGCUCCCCAGGAAACCUGUUUAGAUAACACCCUGGACCCAAGAAAGGUGCUGGGCCAUGGGUUUCUUCUCUCUCUCCCUAUCUGUGCUCCCUGACCCCCUGUGUGUGUGUGGUCUCUAGGCUUGCCUUCUAUCCCUGAGGGUCUGUAAAUACUAAAAACACUUAAACUUUCAUAUUGUAGUUGUGUCUUUGAAGCCAGGUCCCCAUCCCGUACCUUGAGGGCAAGGCCUCCUGGAAGGGACCCAUGUAGGUGGAUCCCCUGCUGUCCAGGCCUCUUAGCUGCUGGGGUAGUGACCAGUUAAGUGGAUAGAGUUUCAUUCAAAACAAUAAUCAUUCAACUGUAUCUCACAUCAAACCUCUGCUCUAGUUUAUGUAUCUACUUUAUGUUCUUAGAAGACUGUGCAAACACAUUGUCUUUUUUGAGUACCUGUCUUGUCCUAGGCACUCUGCUUGGUACGGGGAGAGAUGAAUCUUCUGUCUUCAGGGGCUUCCACUCCAGCAGGGGGAACAUGACUAAUAGUGACUGCCUGCUGCUGUAGGUAAUAAGUGGCUCCCACUAGGCCCUCCAUUUGGUGGCCCCCUGUCCCUCUCACUGGUGGAAGCCUACCUGUCCUCUAAGGACCAGCUCACUAAUGUCCUAGAUCCUCACGGACCAGAUUGCUUUUCUCAGAACUGAAGAGCACUUACUAAUGGCCCCUCUUGUCAUAUGCCAUCCCAGGAUUCGAAUUUUUUUUUUUUUUUCUGUCUUGUGGCCCAAAUAAAUGCUGAACUCCUCGAGGGCUGGGAGUGUAUCUAGCAGUUUCCUUAUACUGGACUAAUCAGAUGCUGACUAGGUAGCAGUGAGAAAAAUCUAGAAAUUCCCUUUUAGCCACAUCGACUUACACGAGGGGAUAUGUGUAAGGUACUAUAGCUCUUCAAACAAGAGGUGGUCUCGUUUGAAGGGUGGAUUGAUGUGGGUGUUCAAAUGAUGUCACAAGUGGCCGGUUUCUCUGUCUCCAUUUCUUUUUUUUUUUGGCUCCAUUUCCAAAUUUCCCAGAUAGCACAGCAAGUUGGCCCCAGCAGCUCUAGACACUCCAUCUUCUCAGGGCAUAGCCAACACAAUAAAAUAUUUCAAGUUCCUGAAAGAUAGCUGAAAUAAGCCCUAGAAGUUUCUGGAUUGGGAGUAGAGCCAAACCUGCCAGCUCACAUAGAUGAGGGCAGGGAAUAGGGUGUCUCACGAUCACAGUGUCCUGCCUUCUGAUUUGCCUGGGACUGUCCUGUUUUGGCACCAAAAAUAUCUGCAUCCUAGGAAACCCUCGGGUCCUGGGCAAAUUCAGACAGUGACUUGCCCUAUCAGAAGCAAAGCAAGGUUGCCAUUACCUGAGGUGGGCAAAUUCAGACAGUGACUUGCCCUAUCAGAAGCAAAGCAAGGUUGCCAUUACCUGAGGUGGGCAAAUUCAGACAGUGACUUGCCCUAUCAGAAGCAAAGCAAGGUUGCCAUUACCUGAGGUGGGCAAAUGGAGGCUGGGUGGCCAGUGAGUGACCAAUACCCCCAGCAUUGAAGAGAGUGGAGCAGCCCUUCAAGAAGUUCCAACCUCUGCCCAGGACUGGUUUUACCAACUUCACUAGGCUUAGAAUCGUAGGAAGUCUAUUUGGGACUUGCGAGUCUCACGUAUUCCUGCCUAAAUGUUUAUGGAUACCUGUUUAGAGCUGAAAUCUUUUCAGCUCCCAUAAUAUGAGGGAAUUAGGUCUCAAAGAAGAUCAUGUAUUUUGAUCAGACCUUAUAGCUGAGCAGUGGAAAGAAAAAAAAUCAGUGUGAGAUCUCCCAGGGUUCCACAGGAGUGGCUUCCUUAGUCCAACUGGCAGCCUAUCCUGGAAUAUUGCCUGGGAGAGAGGUUAGUUGCUUUUCCUGGUGCUAGGAACUGAAUGGUUUUACAUAUUGAUCAAUGAAAAUACUUAUUUGGCCUAGAAUAGAUGCAAAAAUACUGCUAAUUACUAACAGUAUCUCUUCUUUGCUGCGUGCCAGACACUCCACUGGGCAUUAUGCAGUUAAUAUGUACCAUGCAUUUCCCGUGGUUAGCAAUGAUGUCAGGCAUAGAAAAGACAUGAAAUUAUGAUGUCAAAUGAAUAAACUGGAAAAAGGAAUUUCUUGAAUUUUCUCCAGCUGUCCUAAGAAUGUAUCUAUACUUUGAUCCUGGCCUACCUUUUCAGCAUCUAAACUUUUUUCCCCCAAGCUUCUAGAUAUUCAAAGUUAAGUAUUAAAUAAAAUCAGUAAAUAUAUACAAGCUUGUUUGGCCAUUCUGAAUAAGGUUAUAUUUCCACCACACAAUCUCCAAAUUCUCUAGCAGAAGGGAUCAGUAUGUUAUAGAUACCCCCUUUCCUUCCCUCCCUGGCAAGCCACCACAUCUGUUAUGGGUACUCAAUGCAGUGGCUGCACCUGGGCCUCACUCAUUAAGCAGUUGUUGAUUGAGUGACUGAAUUGAAUGCCUGAUGAGCUCGCAAGUAAGAUUCAGACUGUGCCUGCGAACUAAUAGGAUCCCUCUGCUUUUUAUUCACUACUGCUGAGGUAGAUCUCAGGCCAGCCUGAAGUUUAGGUCUACUGAGAAAUAAUAAGCCUCAAAAAUCGAGCUUUGCUUCACCCAGUCUCCCAGUAAACACUAAGAAUUGUUCACAUUAUUUACACAUCCUAGACUGCCUGUCUUAUGGACCAAAUGUUUGUGUUCUCCCCCCAAUUUAUACAUUGGAAUCCUAACCCUCAAUGUAAUAGCAUUAGGUGCUGGGGUCUUUGGGAGGUGAUUGGCUAAUGGACCUGGAGCCCUCAUGAUGGGAUGAGUCCCCUUAUCAGAAGAGACCUGAGAAGGCUUUCUUCCUCUCCCUCUGCUCUUCAUGAUGUGAAGACACAAGAAGACAGCCAUCUGUGGGCCAGGAAGAGGUCCUCACUGGAACCCAACCAUGCUGGCACCCCAAUCUUGAAUUUCUAGCUUCAAGAACUUGGGAAAUAAAUGUAAGCCAGCCAGCUUAUGGAUUUGUUACAGCAGCCUAAGCUAAGUCAGAGUCUCUAGAACAGCUGGUCUGGGGCAGCAGUGAAGGGAGGUGGGUGGGCAUAUGACCCUGCCCUGCACAUGAAUGGCAAAGGCAACUGGAGAGCCUCUCCCUUUUGGUGAGAUCCCCAGUCCACAAGGGCAUGUUCAUCCAUAGCUUUACUUCCCAAAGCAAAUUCUGGUUCCUGGGGCCUGUGCCUCCAUAGAUGGCAUGAUCUGCAGCCUCCUAUGGUAAUUUACCCUCUUCCUAAAUUUCUGAGUCUUCACAUUUAAGCAAUCCUAGUUAGAUAUCCUCUACCUGUAUCCAUGGCUGUCUUUCAGUCACAUUACAGACUCAUUGUGAUGACCAUGUAGGGACAAUGUGAUUUCAGAAACAUGGCCUCAUUUGAUUUUAAUGUAAAUAUAAAUCAGUGAAGCAGAAAAAGAGAAUCUCCAGAAAAACAAGGGAUGAGGCUGUACAGCAAGUUAAAGUGGAAUCAGAACCCAACUGUAGUCCAAUAUUUGUUUCAAUCCUGCUCUUUUCUACCAUAUCACCCAGUUUCCAAAUCGUUCAGCAAAUUGCCAUGGUCAAUGGGAUUAACCUUUCCCUUUUAUUCUCAGGAAAUCUCCCUUGUCCAUUUUGCAAGACUGUGUGAUUCUUUCUACUGUUACAAGGAAUAAAAGUCUUCCUAAAAAGGUCUUUGGUGCCUUUAUUAUUUUACGGAUCAUUUCUGAGGGAAUUAUUGAACUUCAUUAUGUAACCACCCCUUGGGUUCACCUUGCCCACUGCCUAGACAGAGCCAAUUUAUCCAGACAGGAGAAUUGCAAUGGAGAAAGAGUAAUUCAUGCAGAACUGGCUGUGUGGGAGACUGGAGUUUUAUUAUUACUCAAAUCAGUCUCCCCAAGCAUUCAGGGAUCAGAGUUUUUGAACAUAAUUUGGUGGGUAGGGGCUUGGAAAGUGGGGAGUAAUGAUUUGUCAGUUUGGGUAUGUAAUCAUAGGUGGUCGAAGUGAGUUUCUCUUGCUGUCUUCCAUUCCUGGGUGGGAUGGCAGAACUAGUUGAGCCAGAUUACUGGUCUGGGCGGUGUCAGCUGAUCUAACAAGUGCAGGGUCUGCAAAAUAUCUCAAGCGCUGAUCUUAGGUUUUACAAUAGUGAUGUUAUACCCAGGAGCAAUUUGGGGCGGUUCAGACUCUUGGAGCCAUAUGCUGCAUGACCCUGAAUCUGUAAUUUCUAAUCUUGUAGCUAAUUUGUUAGUCCUGCAGAGGCAGACUGGCCCCUAGGCAAGAAGGGGGUCUUUUCAGGAAAGGGCUGUUAUCAAUUUUGUUUCAGAGUCAAACCAUGAACUGAAUUCCUUCCCAAAGUUAGUUCAGCCUAUGCCCAGGAAUGAACAAGGACAGCUUAAAGGUUAGAAGCAAGAUGGAGUCAGUUAGGUCUGAUUUCUUUCACUGUCAUGAUUUCUUCAGUUAUAAUUUUGCAAAGGUGGUUUCACUUAGUUUCAGAGAUGGUUGGGGCUGCUUCAGCAUGGGAUGCAUGAAAGGUGCUCAGCUGUGGGUUGGAGCAGGGGCCUCCACUGUUCUGCUCUU
Pan troglodytes (chimpanzee) is the source of this 12189-nucleotide long non-coding RNA. RefSeq lists it as uncharacterized. NCBI's taxonomy places the organism in Eukaryota, Metazoa, Chordata, Mammalia, Primates, Hominidae. The record is from RefSeq and is a predicted model, not a curated record. The transcript is spliced from 7 exons.